This 263-nucleotide ribosomal RNA is filed under the name uncultured bacterium. RNAcentral's name for it is "partial 16S ribosomal RNA". It matches the Rfam family "Bacterial small subunit ribosomal RNA", at positions 334 to 593 of the family's 1533-position model. The record is from RNAcentral.
UGUCCCUACGGGAGGCAGCAGUGAGGAAUAUUGGUCAAUGGGCGAGAGCCUGAACCAGCCAAGUCGCGUGAGGGAAGACGGUCCUAUGGAUUGUAAACCUCUUUUGUCGGGGAGCAAGACCCGCCUCGUGCAGGCGGAGCGAGAGUACCCGAAGAAAAAGCAUCGGCUAACUCCGUGCCAGCAGCCGCGGUAAUACGGAGGAUGCGAGCGUUAUCCGGAUUUAUUGGGUUUAAAGGGUGCGCAUGCGGACCAUCAAGUCAGCG